UGGGGAAUAUUGCGCAAUGGGGGCAACCCUGACGCAGCAAUACCGCGUGAGUGAAGAAGGUUUUCGGAUCGUAAAGCUCUGUUAUUGGGGAAGAAAAAAGACGGUACCCAAGAAGAAAGUCCCGGCUAACUACGUGCCAGCAGCCGCGGUAAUACGUAGGGGACAAGCGUUGUCCGGAUUUACUGGGCGUAAAGGGCACGCAGGCGGUUUUUUAAGUCAGAUGUGAAAGGUACCGGCUCAACCGGUGACAUGCAUUUGAAACUGAAAGACUUGAGUAUUGGAGAGGCAAGUGGAAUUCCUAGUGUAGCGGUGAAAUGCGUAGAUAUUAGGAGGAACACCGGUGGCGAAGGCGGCUUGCUGGACAAAUACUGACGCUGAGGUGCGAAAGCGUGGGGAGCAA
Molecule: ribosomal RNA, 400 nt
Filed under: uncultured bacterium
Lineage: Bacteria
Description: bacterial SSU rRNA
Rfam family: Bacterial small subunit ribosomal RNA
Source: RNAcentral